UAGGGAAUCUUCGGCAAUGGACGAAAGUCUGACCGAGCAACGCCGCGUGAGUGAAGAAGGUUUUCGGAUCGUAAAACUCUGUUGUUAGAGAAGAACAAGGACGUUAGUAACUGAACGUCCCCUGACGGUAUCUAACCAGAAAGCCACGGCUAACUACGUGCCAGCAGCCGCGGUAAUACGUAGGUGGCAAGCGUUGUCCGGAUUUAUUGGGCGUAAAGCGAGCGCAGGCGGUUUCUUAAGUCUGAUGUGAAAGUCCCCGGCUCAACCGGGGAGGGUCAUUGGAAACUGGGAGACUUGAGUGCAGAAGAGGAGAGUGGAAUUCCAUGUGUAGCGGUGAAAUGCGUAGAUAUAUGGAGGAACACCAGUGGCGAAGGCGGCUCUCUGGUCUGUAACUGACGCUGAGGCUCGAAAGCGUGGGGAGCAAACAGG
RNAcentral lists this ribosomal RNA (429 nucleotides) under Chloroflexota bacterium. RNAcentral describes it as "Chloroflexi bacterium partial 16S ribosomal RNA". It matches the Rfam family "Bacterial small subunit ribosomal RNA", at positions 355 to 776 of the family's 1533-position model. RNAcentral also lists the same sequence under 1 other name. Lineage: Bacteria; Bacillati; Chloroflexota. The record is from RNAcentral.